GAACACACUGUGCUUGCACACCGUGUUUUCUUGAGUCGCGAACGGGUGAGUAACGCGUAGGUAACCUGCCUAUUAGCGGGGGAUAACUAUUGGAAACGAUAGCUAAUACCGCAUAAUAUUAAUUAUUGCAUGAUAAUUGAUUGAAAGAUGCAAGCGCAUCACUAGUAGAUGGACCUGCGUUGUAUUAGCUAGUUGGUAAGGUAAGAGCUUACCAAGGCGACGAUACAUAGCCGACCUGAGAGGGUGAUCGGCCACACUGGGACUGAGACACGGCCCAGACUCCUACGGGAGGCAGCAGUAGGGAAUCUUCGGCAAUGGACGAAAGUCUGACCGAGCAACGCCGCGUGAGUGAAGAAGGUUUUCGGAUCGUAAAGCUCUGUUGUAAGUCAAGAACGUGUGUGAGAGUGGAAAGUUCACACAGUGACGGUAGCUUACCAGAAAGGGACGGCUAACUACGUGCCAGCAGCCGCGGUAAUACGUAGGUCCCGAGCGUUGUCCGGAUUUAUUGGGCGUAAAGGGAGCGCAGGCGGUCAGGAAAGUCUGGAGUAAAAGGCUAUGGCUCAACCAUAGUGUGCUCUGGAAACUGUCUGACUUGAGUGCAGAAGGGGAGAGUGGAAUUCCAUGUGUAGCGGUGAAAUGCGUAGAUAUAUGGAGGAACACCAGUGGCGAAAGCGGCUCUCUGGUCUGUCACUGACGCUGAGGCUCGAAAGCGUGGGUAGCGAACAGGAUUAGAUACCCUGGUAGUCCACGCCGUAAACGAUGAGUGCUAGGUGUUAGGCCCUUUCCGGGGCUUAGUGCCGGAGCUAACGCAAUAAGCACUCCGCCUGGGGAGUACGACCGCAAGGUUGAAACUCAAAGGAAUUGACGGGGGCCCGCACAAGCGGUGGAGCAUGUGGUUUAAUUCGAAGCAACGCGAAGAACCUUACCAGGUCUUGACAUCCCGAUGCUAUUCUUAGAGAUAGGAAGUUACUUCGGUACAUCGGAGACAGGUGGUGCAUGGUUGUCGUCAGCUCGUGUCGUGAGAUGUUGGGUUAAGUCCCGCAACGAGCGCAACCCUUAUUGUUAGUUGCCAUCAUUAAGUUGGGCACUCUAG
This 1093-nucleotide ribosomal RNA is filed under the name Streptococcus mutans. RNAcentral's name for it is "bacterial SSU rRNA". It matches the Rfam family "Bacterial small subunit ribosomal RNA", at positions 68 to 1143 of the family's 1533-position model. The record is from RNAcentral. Lineage: Bacteria; Bacillati; Bacillota; Bacilli; Lactobacillales; Streptococcaceae.